This 2565-nucleotide long non-coding RNA is filed under the name Pelobates cultripes (western spadefoot toad). Lineage: Eukaryota; Metazoa; Chordata; Amphibia; Anura; Pelobatidae. The record is from RNAcentral.
UGAAGAUCUGGGAUAGAUAACAUUACUGUCAUAUGUGUAAGUAACUAGUUACAAGAGGAAACUUUAGAUUUUUAUGGAUCCUAAAUGAAAACAUUUACAGGGUCUAUUACUAGCAAAAUUAGUGAAUGUAUUUUUUAUAGAAAUUAAUGUAUGUGUUCAAUGUCAGUGUUCUGUCUUCAUUUUUAAAUAGAGACUAUAGAUAAAAAAAUACAUGAUAAAUCGGUUUUCAUUGUAUGCAGAUCUCUCUGCCCAAUCCUGUUCAGAUGUUGUAGAGCUACAACUCCAAUAAUCCUUUGCUAGCCUUAAAAAUGGCAAAACAUCACAAGAGUUGAAUUUCAUCAACAGAAAUCUAUCUUUAAACUAUACUAUCUGUAUAACUGAAUUUAUAAUUAUGGAGUUUUUAACCUUUUAUGAUAUUUAGUGUUGUACUUACUAUCUUUGUAACUACACAAAAUAGACGCAAUAAAGAGGAACAAUAUUUGUUUUACUUUACUGCAAGAGCAUAUUUGACUGCCUCAAGACAAUUUUUUACUUAAAGAGAGGCUGGGGAAUACCAACCUUUGCAGUAAUGUUGUGAUACAAAUAGAUUGCAAGAUGGUUAUAUUAUUGCAUAACUCUUAAUAUUUCUAUAAACUAUCACACAAAACAACAGUAUAUGAUGAAAACACUGUGCUUUUAUUCACCAAAAAAAAAAAAUACGUGGUGGAAAUCAAAAGAAUUAUCUUCUUUUUAGUUUUCCAGGUGGCCUAUAUCUGGGAUUUACAGAUCUCUAUGUUUAGGGAUAUUUAUAAUGAGUUCUGCAUUAAGAGUUCAUGCCAUUCCAGUGUUUAAUCAAUUAAUUGAUUAAUCAUGAAAUGCAUUGCUUUCUCAGCAGGGGAUUAUAAAAUUCCUCUCGUCUUGCCAGUGAAUUGAGACACACUUUAAAAUCUACAGACAUUUACUAACCCUCUCAUUUCCAUCAGUGUUCAGUCAUUGACAAAUACUGAAAUAGGUAAAUUAGUGUACUAAAAAUGUCUAUUUAAAUGUAAUGCACAUUUGCAAGAACGUCACAAUGAGGUCAGCCAGCUCAUGGGAUUCUCCAAACACAGGUCAUGUUUGUAAAUAAUUUGAAAUUCAUUUUACUAAAAAAUGUUUUGUAGACAAUCUUUAGAACUGUCAAAAAAUUUAAUUUUAGAGAAAAGGUCAAUUCAUAAAUGAGUCAGAAUGAUUUCUUAUGUACAUGUACAUGGGGUUUCUUGAUGGGAUUUUUCAGCGGGUUUUAGUCCUUACCCUGAAAGUUGAUAGUCUCUUUGUGACUAUCGGAGUGAAUCAGCAAGAACUGCAUUAAGGCAUCCAAGCACCCAACUUAUAUAGAAAAAAAUCUGUUGUUGCUUUGGACGCUGUGGCUGAUUGACCUUUUUUAUAUUUUUAAAUUCUGAGAUUUUAAUGUAUCAUCUGUUUCACUGUGGUUCCUGUGGAUCUGCCUGCUUUUUAUUUUUGUGCCUUCAGAAUUUUCUGUUCUUUCUUCCAUUUAAGGAUUGUUGAGUAACACUGCCUCUUUAAACAAAUUAUUGUGUUUUCAUUCUUGUAAUUAACUAUAUGAGUUAAUGCAGAGUUAUUUUCAGACUAAACAUAGUUCAUGGAUUGCUUUCUAAAACAUAAAAGCUAGUUGUGAAUUGUGGUAAAUAAAUUCCAGAGAACUAUGAACUAUUGGUAUUAUUUCUACUUUUAUAUUGUUUAUGACAGGCCCUGUCUAAGGAAAGAGUGUUCAAAUAGUAUCCUUCAACUGUGCCAGAACUUGGCACUUCCUUAGCUGCAGAUCUGCUUGUUGUCUAUCCCCUAUUUAAGGUAGAAUUACAAAGAACUUCUUUAGGCUUAAGUAAAAGAAAAAUACAACAGCAGAUUUAAAAAGCAAAAUUGCUGGUGAAUAUAAUGUCUUCCUAACCAUAGUACUGUGUCUUGGUCUAAAGCUUAAGGGGUCCUGAAGAAUUUACACUUCCUUGGUUCAAAGAGCCUCUUUAUUAUCCUUAUUUUACAAUGCACAAUGAAAAUUCACCAUCCCAUCAUUGGUAACUCAUUCUCUAGACCGUUAAAAAACUAUUAUUUGUCUCAAAUUACAUAUUAUGUGCUAUUCCAAUCUAAUGUUUUAAGUAGUGGGUAGGUCAGUGCUUUAUGACCUUUUAUGAUCUUUUCUCUGCCAUUAUGUAUUGCAUGUCAAUUAUUUGUACUUGUAAGCCAUAUAGCUUUAGUACAAUUUGCACGUUAUAUGACUUAGACUUGUGAAGAGCAAAAAUCAUUUUUGCCGAAUCAUAUGUUUGUCAGUCUGAUGGAUCACUGUUGUGUUUCAGUAUUGUUUCAAUCUACUUUUUACGUGAUUAUUUUAUACUUUAUGUGCCUUACAGAAGCCAUGACAAAGAAAGUCUCAAACGAAAGUCAAGUAACCGAGUUCCUGAUCUUGGGAUUAUCUGACUCAUUGGAACUGAAAGUCCCUCUUUUCCUGCUCUUUCUUCUCAUCUAUUUUAUAACCAUGCUGAGCAACUUUGUAAUCAUUACACUCAUUUGUCUGGAUAGCCACUUACAAAAGCC